This 253-nucleotide ribosomal RNA is filed under the name uncultured bacterium. RNAcentral describes it as "partial 16S ribosomal RNA". It matches the Rfam family "Bacterial small subunit ribosomal RNA", at positions 524 to 776 of the family's 1533-position model. The record is from RNAcentral.
UACGAAGGGGGCUAGCGUUGUUCGGAAUUACUGGGCGUAAAGCGCGUGUAGGCGGCCCUGCAAGUCGGAUGUGAAAUCCCACGGCUCAACCGUGGAAGUGCAUUCGAAACUGCAGGGCUAGAGUCCUGGAGAGGAAGGUGGAAUGCUUGGUGUAGAGGUGAAAUUCGUAGAUAUCAAGCGGAACACCGGUGGCGAAGGCGGCCUUCUGGACAGUGACUGACGCUGAGACGCGAAAGCGUGGGGAGCAAACGGG